This 274-nucleotide ribosomal RNA is filed under the name uncultured bacterium. RNAcentral's name for it is "partial 16S ribosomal RNA". It matches the Rfam family "Bacterial small subunit ribosomal RNA", at positions 523 to 796 of the family's 1533-position model. The record is from RNAcentral.
AUACGGAGGGUGCGAGCGUUGUUCGGAAUUAUUGGGCGUAAAGAGCAUGUAGGCGGUCUGUUAAGUCUGGUGUGAAAGCCCGGGGCUCAACCCCGGAAGUGCAUUGGAUACUGGCAGACUUGAGUAUGGGAGAGGAAAGCGGAAUUCCGAGUGUAGGAGUGAAAUCCGUAGAUAUUCGGAGGAACACCAGUGGCGAAGGCGGCUUUCUGGACCAAUACUGACGCUGCGAUGCGAAAGCGUGGGGAGCAAACAGGAUUAGAAACCCUAGUAGUCC